CGAAAGCCGUUUAUGUGAAUUGCAUAAAAUUAUAUUGUGCAUGCUGCCCAUUGGGAAUAUUAAAUGUGUUUUUAUGCAGGUUGAAAUUUUGGGAAAUGUCCAAUUUACAAGGGAGACUUUGCCGAAAUUUCCGCAGAAAGUCUCGUAACCUUAUUCCAUUUUGGGAAAAAGGGUGUAACUUUAGAAGUGGGCCAGACAUCGUGUAACACCCCGAC
This 215-nucleotide long non-coding RNA is filed under the name Prunus persica (peach). RNAcentral describes it as "long non-coding RNA (PPER_LNC007822)". The record is from RNAcentral. Lineage: Eukaryota; Viridiplantae; Streptophyta; Magnoliopsida; Rosales; Rosaceae.